CAGUCGCCGCGGUAAUACAGAGGGUGCAAGCGUUAAUCGGAAUUACUGGGCGUAAAGCGCGCGUAGGUGGUUUGUUAAGUUGGAUGUGAAAUCCCCGGGCUCAACCUGGGAACUGCAUCCAAAACUGGCAAGCUAGAGUAUGGUAGAGGGUGGUGGAAUUUCCUGUGUAGCGGUGAAAUGCGUAGAUAUAGGAAGGAACACCAGUGGCGAAGGCGACCACCUGGACUGAUACUGACACUGAGGUGCGAAAGCGUGGGGAGCAAACAGGAUUAGAUACCCCCGUAGUCCCUGGUCUCUUAUA
RNAcentral lists this ribosomal RNA (301 nucleotides) under uncultured bacterium. RNAcentral's name for it is "partial 16S ribosomal RNA". It matches the Rfam family "Bacterial small subunit ribosomal RNA", at positions 509 to 809 of the family's 1533-position model. The record is from RNAcentral.